RNAcentral lists this ribosomal RNA (253 nucleotides) under uncultured bacterium. Its description in RNAcentral is "partial 16S ribosomal RNA". It matches the Rfam family "Bacterial small subunit ribosomal RNA", at positions 524 to 776 of the family's 1533-position model. The record is from RNAcentral.
UACGGAGGGUGCAAGCGUUAUCCGGAUUCACUGGGUUUAAAGGGAGCGUAGGUGGGUUGGUAAGUCAGUGGUGAAAUCCCCGAGCUUAACUUGGGAACUGCCAUUGAUGCUAUCAGUCUUGAAUACUGUGGAGGUUAGCGGAAUAUGUCAUGUAGCGGUGAAAUGCUUAGAUAUGACAUAGAACACCAAUUGCGAAGGCAGCUGGCUACACAAAUAUUGACACUGAGGCUCGAAAGCGUGGGGAUCAAACAGG